Callithrix jacchus (white-tufted-ear marmoset) is the source of this 1701-nucleotide non-coding RNA. The record is from RefSeq and is a predicted model, not a curated record. NCBI's taxonomy places the organism in Eukaryota, Metazoa, Chordata, Mammalia, Primates, Cebidae.
UGUGGGGAUUAUAGAGAUUCUAAUUCAAGGUGAGACUUUGGGUGGGAAUACAAAUACCUAAACCUUAACAACAGAGUUAGUUCAAAAAUGCUGAAAUGAAUUUGCUAACAGAUAUAAAACUAUAUAGUAUCUCACAGGAUGAUAAAAUAACAGAAUUAUCUUUUUACCAGGCAGAAAUCUACAAAAUAACAUGUAACUUCACAGUGUGUGGGUUUUAAUCAAGUGGAAAUAAUCAGUCAAACUCAGGUGUAUUCUGCUACUAGUGAAAUAAUCCUUAGGGAAAGGACUGUAAAACAAUGCCCCCACAUAAUGUCAAACAUCAAAAGGACAUGCAUUUGUCCUUUAUUUCUAAGUGUUGGAUAAUUUUUUCCAACACCGCUUUUUUUUUUUCCAGUGAUCUUGAAAAAUCACUGGAUCUGUCUUUUGCUGUUUUGAAAACCCUGAAAGACUGGGGUAGGUAGUAAAAUUCAAUGUAAUUUUACUAUUGAAAAUUCAAGUUACUACAUAGGAAAUAGAUUAUUUUUUCCUUCCCAAGGUCAAUUCAAUUCUGUCUUUCAUUAUCUGAAAGCUCACAAGAAGUCGUAUGUUUUGCUUUCUGAAGCCACUUAUGUUUACUAAAGUAUAAGAAACGUCCUAUCUUGAAGUGUUCACGGAUACAGUAUAUAUGCCCAUGAAUCUCCUAAAAUUUCAUUCAGAUAAUUGCUUUAGGUGCACAUGUGCAUUUCUGUUAAAAAGAGAACGAAGUUCUAUGAUCACAGAGGGUUACAAAACACUGCCCAGUGGGGUUUCUAGUAGCUAGUACUUCCAUGGAGUUAGUUGUCACAUUACAGGGUGCCUUUACCUUUUCCUCACACGUGUUCUGUUGCCUUCUUUAGAAUCACCAGUAUACGCUCUGCUUCUAGUCACACCCCUGCUAUCCACCAGCCUGGAAACAUCUGCAUCCUUCUCAGGACAAAAGUUCUAGAGGCUGAGAAGUCCAAGAUCAAGGUGCUGGCAGAUCUGGUCUCUGAUGAAUUGCACACAUGUAUUCUUACUCUAUCAUCUCCUGUCGACUAUGAAAGAUAAGAUAAGAACACGAUUUUUAUUUAGGAGUUCAUGUCAUUCUUCACUGUAGAAAUCUCAAGUUACUUUGCUAAAGGAAAACUGAAGAUGAUUGAAAACAAAGAUUGAGCACUGAAUAAAAAAAGAAAAAGAAAAAGCUGUGGUCCAACGAAGUCAAAAUAGACUUUCAGAGAAAUGCACCAGGCCUUCUAAGACUGAAAGACUGUGGCCUGUCCCUGUUCCAUAUCAAUAAGGAAAGCAAAGCUGCAGAGUGUCGCUGGUCGACUGACAACGUCUGAGUUUGUCACUGGGUAAGCACUGGCCUGGCUGAAGGUGGUCCGUUGUGGGCAUGUGGUGUCUGAGGAUUAUGGAGUCGAGGUGCCUCUCCUUUGUACAUUAUAAGCCAUGGACAGGAUAUGUUGCCCAGUCAGGGAAGCACCGGGUAGCUAAGCCAAGAGACCUGGUCCCUUUGAUCCUUUCAUUGAAAUUCCAGUUGGAUGUUAAACCCUCUCCUUCUACCUGCAUGUCUUUGUAUAUCAUGUCUCUUUCAUUGUCUCUAAUUCCUUGCCCUACGGUGCUGCCUCUGUGCCGUGUCUUCAUAUCUGGUAUACAGCUUGCAGUGGCAAGAGUCCCCAGAAUACCUAGACCACCAUACUCAUA